UAAUUGAAGCCAAAAUAGAGGCUUAUCACUGUUAAUGAUAUAAUUGAAGACUAUUCUCCAAUUAAG
This 66-nucleotide transfer RNA is filed under the name Scaptodrosophila latifasciaeformis. RNAcentral's name for it is "tRNA-Asn". The record is from RNAcentral. Lineage: Eukaryota; Metazoa; Arthropoda; Insecta; Diptera; Drosophilidae.